This 460-nucleotide ribosomal RNA is filed under the name uncultured bacterium. Its description in RNAcentral is "partial 16S ribosomal RNA". It matches the Rfam family "Bacterial small subunit ribosomal RNA", at positions 338 to 795 of the family's 1533-position model. The record is from RNAcentral.
CCUACGGGAGGCAGCAGUGAGGAAUAUUGGUCAAUGGACGAGAGUCUGAACCAGCCAAGUAGCGUGAAGGAUGACUGCCCUAUGGGUUGUAAACUUCUUUUAUAUGGGAAUAAAAUGUUCCACGUGUGUGAUUUUGUAUGUACCAUAUGAAUAAGGAUCGGCUAACUCCGUGCCAGCAGCCGCGGUAAUACGGAGGAUCCGAGCGUUAUCCGGAUUUAUUGGGUUUAAAGGGAGCGUAGGUGGAUUGUUAAGUCAGUUGUGAAAGUUUGCGGCUCAACCGUAAAAUUGCAGUUGAAACUGGCAGUCUUGAGUACAGUAGAGGUGGGCGGAAUGCGUGGUGUAGCGGUGAAAUGCUUAGAUAUCACGAAGAACUCCGAUUGCGAAGGCAGUUCACUGGACUGAAACUGACACUGAGGCUCGAAAGUGUGGGUAUCAAACAGGAUUAGAUACCCGGGUAGUC